This 497-nucleotide ribosomal RNA is filed under the name uncultured bacterium. Its description in RNAcentral is "partial 16S ribosomal RNA". It matches the Rfam family "Bacterial small subunit ribosomal RNA", at positions 28 to 507 of the family's 1533-position model. The record is from RNAcentral.
GAUGAACGCUGGCGGCGUGCCUAAUACAUGCAAGUCGAGCGAACAGACGAGGAGCUUGCUCCUCUGACGUUAGCGGCGGACGGGUGAGUAACACGUGUAUAACCUACCUAUAAGACUGGGAUAACUUCGGGAAACCGGAGCUAAUACCGGAUAAUAUAUUGAACCGCAUGGUUCAAUAGUGAAAGACGGUGUUUCUGUCACUUAUAGAUGGAUCCGCGCCGCAUUAGCUAGUUGGUAAGGUAACGGCUUACCAAGGCGACGAUGCGUAGCCGACCUGAGAGGGUGAUCGGCCACACUGGAACUGAGACACGGUCCAGACUCCUACGGGAGGCAGCAGUAGGGAAUCUUCCGCAAUGGGCGAAAGCAUGACGGAGCAACGCCGCGUGAGUGAUGAAGGUCUUCGGAUCGUAAAACUCUGUUAUUAGGGAAGAACAAAUGUGUAAGUAACUAUGCACGUCUUGACGGUACCUAAUAAGAAAGCCACGGCUAACUACGUG